This is a long non-coding RNA of Lynx canadensis (Canada lynx), 101 nucleotides long. RefSeq lists it as uncharacterized. The record is from RefSeq and is a predicted model, not a curated record. The transcript has 4 exons. Lineage: Eukaryota; Metazoa; Chordata; Mammalia; Carnivora; Felidae.
CUAAAAAAUGGUGCUUUUGAGAAAAACUGAGGGUUACUUUUAUUUGUAUUUGGCAAGAAUUGACAUUAAUCUUUUAUAAGACAUUAAUCUUUAUAUGUGAC